Molecule: long non-coding RNA, 1306 nt
Organism: Oncorhynchus masou masou (cherry salmon)
Lineage: Eukaryota; Metazoa; Chordata; Actinopteri; Salmoniformes; Salmonidae
Exons: 7
Source: RefSeq, a predicted model, not a curated record
GGUUCGGAAAGGGCAGGGAACUCACUGUAUGUAAACUGGAGGAGGCAGACACGGACCAGAAUGACCAAUAAAUGACUGAAAUGAGCAAGAAAACGAAAGCUUAUUCAAUGGACCAGCUACAGCUUGUGUGGCUCAAUAAGUGUCUCUGAGGAGAGAGAGAGAAAGAACAGGGGCACUGUCUCUAAAAUGAAUCUCUCUGGGAACAUGAAACCAACACAAAGCUAAAAGCCCAAUGCAGCAGGAAACCAGACUCACCUGUUCCCAGCUGUGUCCAUGAAGAGUGACCAGUCUAUGGGACGACCAGACGUAUUCAGAAAGGGAGACGGAUCUACUGAACAAAGUUGAAGCCCAAUCCAGCAGGAAGGGCCAGAUUCACCUUUUCCCAGCUGUGUGUCCAGGAAGAGUGACCAGUCUAUGUCCCAUAGACUAUAUCUAUUCAGAAAGGGAGACGGUUCUACUGAACAAAGGUAUGAGAGCUGUAUUACACAGGUAAGCCAUCCAGAAAUAACUUGGUAUACAAAAUACUGAACAUUUCCAAUUUCUACUUUUUAUUUAGACUGAAUGGGUAUAACCUUACAGAGAGUUGUUGUGCUUUUCUGGCCUCGACUCUCAGCUCAAAUUCCUCACAAAUGAGAGAGCUGAACCUGAGUGACAACAACCUGCAGGAUUCAGGAGUAAAGCUGCUCUCUGCUGGACUGGAGAGUCCACACUGUAAAUUGGAGACACUAAGGCUGUCAGGCUGCCUGGUCACAGAUGAAGGCUGUGACCAAAUCCCUCCCAUCUGAGAGAACUGGACCUGAGCUACAACCACCCAGGAGACUCAUGAUUAAAGCUGACCUCUGCAGGACUGGAGGAUGGAAAACUGGAAAAACUCAAAUAUGUUGAGGGACAAUGACCCAGCACACCUCCAGGUUGUGUAAGGGCUAUUUCACCAAGAAGGACAGUGAUGGAGAGCUGCAUCAGAUGACCUGGCCUCCACAAUCACCCGACAACCCAAUUGAGAUUCUUUGGGAUGAGCUGGACCGCAGAGUGAAGGAAAAGCAGCCAACAAAUGCGCAACAUAUCUGAUAACUCCUUCAAAACUGUUGGAAAAGCAUUCCAGGUGAAGCUGGUUGAGUUCAUGCCACAAAUGUGCUGUCAUCAAGUAAAAGGGUGGCUGCUUUGAAGAAUCUAAAAUAUAUAAUAUAUUUUGAUUUGUUUAAAACUUUUUUGGUUACUACAUGAUUCCAUGUGUUAUUUCAUAGUUUUGAUGUCUUCACUAUUAUUCUACAAUGCAGGAAAUAGUCAAAAUAAAGAAAAACCCUUG